This 498-nucleotide ribosomal RNA is filed under the name uncultured bacterium. Its description in RNAcentral is "partial 16S ribosomal RNA". It matches the Rfam family "Bacterial small subunit ribosomal RNA", at positions 30 to 523 of the family's 1533-position model. The record is from RNAcentral.
AUUGAACGCUGGCGGCAUGCCUUACACACGCAAGUCGAACGGUAACAGGUCUUCGGAUGCUGACGAGUGGCGAACGGGUGAGUAAUACAUCGGAACGUGCCUAGUAGUGGGGGAUAACUACUCGAAAGAGUGGCUAAUACCGCAUGAGAUCUACGGAUGAAAGCAGGGGAUCGCAAGACCUUGUGCUACUAGAGCGGCCGAUGGCAGAUUAGGUAGUUGGUGGGAUAAAAGUUUACCAAGCCGACGAUCUGUAGCUGGUCUGAGAGGACGAUCAGCCACACUGGGACUGAGAAACGGCCCAGACUCCUACGGGAGGCAGCAGUGGGGAAUUUUGGACAAUGGGCGCAAGCCUGAUCCAGCAAUGCCGCGUGCAGGAUGAAGGCCUUCGGGUUGUAAACUGCUUUUGUACGGAACGAAAAGCCCCGGGUUAAUACCCUGGGGUCAUGACGGUACCGUAAGAAUAAGCACCGGCUAACUACGUGCCAGCCGCCGCCGUAA